This 287-nucleotide long non-coding RNA is filed under the name Phaseolus vulgaris (common bean). RNAcentral's name for it is "long non-coding RNA (PVUL_LNC004817)". The record is from RNAcentral. Lineage: Eukaryota; Viridiplantae; Streptophyta; Magnoliopsida; Fabales; Fabaceae.
CUCCAAGUUUUUUAGCGAGCGACGAGAAACGUCACAAGAAAAAGGAGAGCAAGGGAACAAACGGUGUUCGAUAGAAUCCAACCACGUGUUCCUGAAGGAGAAGAGGCGAACAUCAUUCAAGUGCUCCGAAAGCUCAGAACUUCUUGAGUCCAAGAGUUCCAACAUUGUGUGGUCACGGAGAAGUCGCAGGAGAUGGGCAAAACGACCCUUCGUCUUCAAGGAAAGUGCUUCGUCGAUAAAAUACGCGUCAGGGUGCUUCGAGGAGAACUUGCGUAGUAUUACCGGAC